AGAAGAAGAAGAAGAAGAAGAAGAAGAAGAAGAAGAAGAAGAAGAAGAAGAAGAAGAAGAAGAAGAAGAAGAAGAAGAAGGAAAAGAAGAAGAAUAAUAAUAAGAAGAAGAACAAGAAGAGCAACAGCAGCAACAACAAACAACAACAACAAAAGACAUACUUAUCUACAGUCAUAUGUCCUUUGACAUAGUUUCAGGUAUGCCCUCAGAAGCCAACUGAUCUCAGAAGCGAACUCUAAUGGAGCAGUAGGAGCCUUCUGUAGUGGUGCACUGACUGGGAUUGCAAGUGCCCAACUGAUUAUUUAGUAUUGUUCUACAUGGUUCUAAAUGCCAGUGAGAGCAUAGAAGGCUGGGAUACUGCUUGCCUUGGCGUUCUCCCUUAAUGAGAAAGAAGAUCGAUUAUAUGUCAGGCCAGUGCAGUGUGACGAUGAUUGAUGAUGCUGAUGACAAUGAUGAAGAUGACGUGACGGUGAGGACUAUGACGAUGGCUAUUUUCAUUCAAUACUUUGUCCCAGAUGACUGAGAAAGGCAGGAGGUGAAGAAGCGAACAAAGCAAAGAAGGGAUUAGACAGAAGACACAUGCACCGCAGAGACAAGUUCUGAUACAGCGAGGAGUCGGUAGAGAGUGAAGUUCAAUUAAUAUACAUAUUGCCAAGACACAGGACAACUUCCUUAAGAAGUAGAAGUUUGGCACUGUCAAGAAAUGGGAGUGAGGUGAAA
Molecule: long non-coding RNA, 720 nt
Filed under: Chinchilla lanigera (long-tailed chinchilla)
Lineage: Eukaryota; Metazoa; Chordata; Mammalia; Rodentia; Chinchillidae
Description: lncRNA (ENSCLAG00000023255.1)
Source: RNAcentral